UAGCAUAAUAAAUUGUUCUUUAAUUGAGAACUGGAAUGAAAGGUUAGACAGUUUACAAGUUUGUUUAUUUUAAUAAAUGAAUUUUUAUUAUAAGUAAAAAUACUUAUAUAAAAUAAAGGGACGAUAAGACCCUAGAAGCUUUAGUUUGAAAAAUUUAAGAGUGAUUUUAUUAAUAAUCUGAGGUUUGAAUAACUUUGAUUGGGGAAAUAAAAAUUUUUAAAAUAAUUUUUGUAAAAAUUAAUUAAUUUUUGAAUGAUCUUUUAAAUAAAAAAGAAAUGAAAAAGUUACUCUAGGGAUAACAGCGUAAUAAUUUUGGAUAGGCCUUAUAUAUAGAAUUGAUUAUGACCUCGAUGUUGAAUUAAAAUAUCUUUAUAAAGUAGAAAUUAUAAGAGAAGGUUUGUUCAACUUUUAAUUUUU
This 417-nucleotide ribosomal RNA is filed under the name Metacrangonyx panousei. RNAcentral describes it as "partial 16S ribosomal RNA". The record is from RNAcentral. Lineage: Eukaryota; Metazoa; Arthropoda; Malacostraca; Amphipoda; Metacrangonyctidae.